This 661-nucleotide ribosomal RNA is filed under the name uncultured bacterium. RNAcentral describes it as "bacterial SSU rRNA". It matches the Rfam family "Bacterial small subunit ribosomal RNA", at positions 94 to 788 of the family's 1533-position model. The record is from RNAcentral.
AGUGGCGGACGGGUGAGUAACGCGUGAGAAUCUGCCUUCAGGUCGGGGACAACAGAGGGAAACUUCUGCUAAUCCCGGAUGAGCCUUAGGGUAAAAAAUUUAUUGCCUGGAGAUGAGCUCGCGUCUGAUUAGCUAGUUGGUAAGGUAAAAGCUUACCAAGGCAACGAUCAGUAGCUGGUCUGAGAGGAUGAGCAGCCACACUGGGACUGAGACACGGCCCAGACUCCUACGGGAGGCAGCAGUGGGGAAUUUUCCGCAAUGGGCGAAAGCCUGACGGAGCAAGACCGCGUGGGGGAGGAAGGCUCUAGGGUUGUAAACCCCUUUUCUUUGGGAAGAACAAAAUGACGGUACCAAAGGAAUCAGCCUCGGCUAACUCCGUGCCAGCAGCCGCGGUAAUACGGAGGAGGCAAGCGUUAUCCGGAAUGAUUGGGCGUAAAGCGUCCGCAGGUGGCAAUGUAAGUCUGCUGUCAAAACCCAGGGCUCAACUCUGGUCAGGCAGUGGAAACUACAUAGCUAGAGUUCGGUAGGGGCAAAGGGAAUUCCCGGUUUAGCGGUGAAAUGCGUAGAGAUCGGGAAGAACAUCGGUGGCGAAAGCGCUUUGCUAGACCGAAACUGACACUCAGGGACGAAAGCUAGGGGAGCGAAUGGGAUUAGAUACCCC